GGUGAUAUGGACAUGCUACCCAUGGAUACGACCUUUGGUACCCUCAAUUCUAUAAUAUUUGAAAAGAUUUAUAAUCAGGUGAAUUCAAGUAGUAUUUGUUUUCAUUGUCAUAUUUAUGAAGAGGCGGAGCUACUACUAUCUUGUCUCGUUUUAUUACGUAGGCAUCUUGUCGAGCUUUUCAAGUCCAAGGUCAAGAUGAGAUACGAUGGAGCCGAACGGGAGGGCCAACAAGAAUCAAGCAUUCAUACAGCUGAGAGGGAAGGAUUUCAAGUGUACUUUCCAACAAAUCAAACGGCACAUGAUUCGGAGCUUGCUAGAGAAAAAUAUCACGAAUUAAAGUUGAAUCCGAUUCGGGUCCGAGCUGUCAGGACCCGAAUUUGUUUUAAUCACCCAGGCCGCAUCCGGAGUCGAAAUCAAGCAAACAAGUACUUGUUGGAAAGAUAAUUACAAGAACUUUCCAAAGGAUCCAGCCCCACAAGUAGAUUUGACGCGUGCUGACCGUGGAGGACAAAACAAGCUGACGGAUCUGUUUUUUCGGUUUCCUAAAGAGUUGUAGUUUGUCAGGGAAGUUAAUGAUAGAGUUGGAUUUCGGCCUCCUUACUCAAGGUGGACGACAAUCUCUCUCCCUCCUCCUUUAUAUACCCCACGAGCCCCCCUAAGAAGCUUUUGGUUUUGAUUAGUUAAAAGUUAGCCAUCGCUACUACUUCGUGUAAUCGCGUGUGUCGGUUAGACCACCUGUUUUACCGCUUUCGGAACUCCAACUUAUCGUCUCGUUGAGACAUUUAUUUGAUAUAGUAUAUUCGCAAUUUUAGAUUGCAUCCGCUUUUUAUCUUGUUCUUGCUUGUUCUUCGAUUGCUUGCAGGAACAAAGACCUUCAUGGUCAGGUUGAUCGUGCCCCUCCGUGAUCAAUAACCCUCUGGAGUUGGUGUAUCGAUUGCUAAGGCGCUGCGUUCUACUAGUCGGAUCGUCAACGUCACCUCCUACCCAAAUCGAGAGUUACCAAUCUCAUCGAAAGAUCAGGCCACCCUGAGGCUAUCACCGGGAAGCGGAGACGCGCCCCGCUCCUCGGGGCAGGCAGAAAACCCUCCCCCAGGGAGGGCAAGGAGGAGGGGAUCCUGAGGGGUCCUCGGAUUCGUCACCAACCAUCACGUGGGGUCACGUGCACGGCGUCCUGAACGCCUGCCAACAGGAGGAUCUCCGCCAGUGCCUAGAGCGCCGGCGCCGGCGCGAGGUAGAGCGCCAGUGCCCGGAGGAGCAGGAGGAUGCUCCCAUGGGCGCCGAGGAUGGCUGCACCACGUUCACCCGCGAGCUGCGUCGGGUGACAUGGCCCCGCAUGUUCCGAGCACCGACGCUCGGGACAUACGAGGGGUCCGUGAACCCCAAGGAUUUUCUGCACAAGUCAAAAGUACCUCAGUAAUCUACUCUAUAAUAUGUUUAAUGUGCUCUGUCACACGUGGCUCACAAGUAGGAGGUAACCACUGCAGCUCAGCCAUGUCAACAAGAAACUCAUUUAUGAAUCAGGUACGCUACACCAAAUUUAUAUAAAAUAAACACCAAAAUUGGGAGAGUGAGAGAGAGAGGGGCUACCGAUUGGGGAUUUCAGGCCGACAAUUGACUUGAAGAUUGAACAGCACCACAGUCAAAUUGAAGAUUGGAGAAAUUUGGGGAGUCCGCCAGUCGGAGGAGACGACGAGUGGGCGACGGGUGACUACCGGACAGCGAUUAUGUGCUGCCGCGCUAGGCCGACGGCGAACGUGAAUCCCUGACCUAGCGAGCGGGGCCAACACGAGCCAGGGAGCCGGACAAUGGAGGAGGCGUGGGGCUGGGUGGAGGCGAGGAGGCGGGCGGCGGGCAGCACUGCAGCAGAACCGUGCGGUGGCCGGCGGCGUUGCGUUGCACUUCUGCUUUCUCUCGAUCUCCCGUCCAUGAUUUAGUUUGCUCCUGCGAAUCUCUUAUUGAGGGGCCGAGCUGGGCCUGGUGCUUCCCGGGCUGUAGCACCAGUCCAGCAAAAUAGGAUAAAACAACAGGCAAAAAAAAAAGAAAUGAGGCCAGUCAAGAUUUGUUAGCCCAUUAGUACCACCAGGCCCAUGGAAGCACCAUUUAGCCCAGGGAGCACCAGGCCUGCUCGAAGCCAAGCCUGAGCCGCGCAUGAGCAGUCCUUCGCACGACUGCAGUCAAUCGAUCCUGAAGCCUCAUAUCUUCUAUGAAAAGGAAUGUACGGACUUGCUAGGCACAUCUUCGAUCCGAAACUUCAUAUCUUUUGCGAAACAAGACAGACCACUUGUACGGACUCGCUAGGCAUGGUCCCUCAUUAGGACGAACUAUUCGGCCAAAUUGGAGUCGGUGCAAAACUUCUACUCGGGUCCAUUUGGGGUCUUAGGAUGAGGACACCAAACAAAGCUACUCAUCAAAGCGAAACAAGACUAGACCACUUGUGCGGACUCGCUAGGCAUCCUCCCUCACUAGGACGGACAAUUUGGCCAAAUCGGAGUCGGUGCUAAACUUUAAUCCGGAACGUGUCCAUUUGAGGUAAUAGGAUGAGCACACCAAACAAAGCUACUCAUCGAAGCGAAACAACACUACACCACUUGUACAGACUUGCUAUGCAUGGUCCCUCACUAAGACAAACAAUUCGGCGAAAUCGGAGUCGGUGCUAGACUUAUACUCGAACUCGGGUCCAUUUGGGGUACUAGGGUGAGCAGACCAAUCAAUUUGGGGUACUAGGAUGAGCAGACCAAUCAAAUCUACUGAUGAGGGCAUCCCUAGUCCUUUGUCAUCUUUGCCUAAUGAUGAUCUUCCUGUUCAAGAUAAACCCAAUGAUCUACGCAUUGGACCAGUUACACGAGCACGUGCCAAGUUAUUAGAACAACAGGUGAACUCACUCCUAGCUGCACCUAAUGUUUAUAUUGAUGAGAAUUUUAUACUGCCUAAGGCUUUGUAUCUUUGUGUGAUCAGGUUUGAGGCUGAGGCAACCGUGGAGCGUGGAGGAGAGGAGGUCGCGUGCGAGGAUCAUCAAGUGCUGUUAUCCAACAUCAAGAUAUGCGCGAGGGAUGAGAGGGAGGCAGGCGCACCACAAAUGAAGAUGGAGGAUACAAAAUGCUAGAAGAGCAACUUGUGAGCAAGGGGCAGCCAACGACAAGAAUGAUCUGCUCACCACAAGUUGAGUACGAGUACGAAGCGCACCAGGACAGCCUACGACGAGUCCGACACGUCUAAGGGGCGCCCGGACCUGCGAGUCCUAAUUUAAGCCAAGUCCUAUUCGGAUUGGUUGUAUGUGUUUAAGUCGAACCUAGUUUGAGUCUGAGUCCGUUUGUGUGUUUGGCUGCCCCUCGCCUAUAUAUACAAGGGGUACGCCUAGGGUUAGGGUUAGACCACGUUUUAACUAUUUUCGAGACUCUUGUUGAUUGCGAGAAGCAUUCAUCUGGAAUCAUACACACCAUAUUCGUUUCGAUAGGGUGUUUGUUAUUUACUGAAAGUUCGAGCGUAAAUCUGUCGUUCCGCUGGGAAUUGAAAGAUUGCGAAACCGCUUGUGGUCGGCGGACUAGUGCGCAAGCGUGUGGUGUUGCGAAUUUCCAUUGGGUUGCAAGUUCGUCGUGCGGCGACGGAUGAACGGCUGGAAGAUUUGUAGAAUCAUAUAAGUUAUCCACGUUGCUCUCUGAGAAGAUCGGGGCACCCCUUAUCAGCUACUCAUCAAAUUGAAAUAAGACUACACCACUUGUACGGACUCGCUAGACAUGGUCCCUCACUAGAACGGACAAUUUGGCCAAAUCGGAAUCAGUGCUAAACUUUUAUCCGGAACUGGUCCGUUUGGCGUUAUAAGAUGAGCACACCAAACAAAACUACUCAUCAAAGCGAAACAAGACUAGACCACUUGUACGGACUCGCUAGGCAUGGUCCCUCACGAGGACGGACAAUUCGACCAAAUUCGAGUCGAUGCUACACUUUGAUCCUCAACUGUCAAUUUGAGGUACUAAGAUGAUCACACCAAUCAAACAUGCUCAUUGAGCGAAACAAGACAGACCACUUGUAUGGAGUCGUUAGGCAUGGUCCCUCAUUAGGACGGACAAUUCAGCCAAAUCGGAAUCGGUGCUAAACUUCUACUCGGACUCGGGUCCAUUCAGGGUACUAGGAUGAGGACACCAAACAAAGUUACUCAUUGAAAUGAAACAAGACUGGACUACUUGUAUGGACUCGCUAGGUAUGGUCCCUCACUAGGGCGGACAAUUCGGCCAAAUCGGAGUCGGUGCUAAACAUUGAUCCGUAACGGGUCCGUUUGGCGUUAUAAGAUGAGCACACAAACCAAAGCUACUCAUCAAAGUGAAACAAGACUAUGCCACUUGUACAGACUCGCUAGGUAUGGUCCCUCACUUGGACGGACAAUUCGGCCAAAUCAAAGUCGGUGCUAAACUUUGAUCCGGAAUGUGUCCAUUUGAGAUACUAGGAUGAGCACACCAAUCAAAGCUACUCAUAGAAGCUAAACAAGACAAACCACUUGUACGGACUCGCUAGGCAUGGUCCCUCAUUAGGACGGACAAUUCGGCCAAAUCGAAGUCGGUGCUGAACUUCUACUCGGACUCGGGUCCAUUUGGUAUCCUAGGAUGAGCACAACAAACAAAACUACUCAUCAAAGCGAAACAAGACUAGACCACUUGUACGGACUCGCUAGGGAUGGCCCCUCACUAGGACGGACAAUUCGUGCAAAUCGGAGUCGGUGCUAAACUUAGAUCCGAAACCGGUCCGUUUGGCAUUAUAAGAUGAUUACACCAAACAAAGCUAAUCAUCGAAGCGAAACAAGACUAGACCACUUGUACGGACUCACUAGGCAUGGUCCCUCACUUGGACGGACAAUUCGGCCAAAUUGGAGUCGGUGCUAAACUUUGAUCUGGAACGUGGACUGCAGGCUUAUUUCAGGAAUUUGCAGGGGUUUCUUUGCAAAAAAGCCGGCGCCAAUUAAUUAGGGACGAAGGGAGUAGAAGACAAGUAAACUCGUUUAAACUGAUUCUAUCUUAUCUCUAGUCCCAACCAUAUUAUAUCUCUAACAUUACCCCUCGGUCGUAGCGGGAGCGAAGCGGACGGUUGCGACUAGAUUUGAAGUCUUGUGCUUCCGUCGUCUUCUCUGCUUCGCCAUCAUCAACUGCGUCUCUGAUGAACAGGUCCGUCACCUAGGGCGGUGUCUGCCGUCUCCUUCUGGUGCCGUCCCUUGUCUCUCCUCUAUUCCCUCCCGCAGUCAUAGCAGGAGUGUCGUGGACGCUAGUGACGACGCAGAUCCUUUGACUGGAGUUGUUGCCGAUGAGUAACUGUAGACGUCGUAGCCCAUGAUGUCGAUGUCGAGGUAGCCGUAGUCGAGGUAGUCGUGGUCGAAGUAGUAGUCGUCGUAGCACAUAGCAAGAGGUGCAAAAAAAAUGCGCUAUGAUAUAGAGAUGGAGCUGCAAUCGAAGACGAUGCACCUUUCAGAUGUCAGAGGGUGUCGUUGGAGGCGUCGUGCGGAUGUCAGAGAACGCGUCGAAGGAGAUGAGACCACCAGUUUUGCCAAAACAGGCAAAACUGGUGCGAACCCAUCGAGCACACAUCAGUUUUGCGAGGACUGUGUGUGCCGUGCAACCACCAGCUUUGCCAGAACUGGAGGGGAGUCAUCACAAUUAGUGAUAUUGGUGUUGAUGCAGUCGAAGCCGUCGGAGAUGCGGGGAUGCUGUCGUCGGUGAAGCAAACGCGAGAAUGCCGUUAUCGAUGAAACGUCUUGCAGUUGAACCGCCAGAGGACGCGGGAGAUGCCCAUCUGUGUGGACGAAGUGGCGGCGGCUGGUUGACGAUGAUUCUUGAUGAAGACCUUUGACGAUGAACUGUCGGUGAUGGCGUAUCAGCGAGCAUGUCGACAAUGAUCUAUCACUCAAAGGCGUCCCUUUUGGCAACGACGUGUCGAUGCCAUGUCGUGCCGUGUCUGAGAAGUCGAUGAAUAUUGCAUCUCGCUUCACACCGGCCUGGCGUGUGGAUGGAUGUGUUGAUGUAGCUUCUCAUAUAUGAUCGACUCGUAGUGCAUGUAGCUCGUGGCUGGUCGUGAUGUAGUCAUACAGUCUGACGAAGACGUGAUAUUGCUCCGUGCAAAAGUUGUUGUAGAUCGCUGGUGUGGACGUCCGCCUGGUGUAGCCGAUCAGGAGACUUUUGUUGUCCAGGAGUUGACACAGAUCGGUCUGGGUGUCGUGUUGUGCUUCUGGUCGUGGAUGAAGGAGCUGACCGAGCGCGUUAAGGAAGCUGGUGCCAUUCCCGGAUCGAAGCUAGGCUUGUGUAUCUCCCUGGCCUGCUCACCUUGAGCCUUCAAUCAGCCACGGGUGCAUAUGCAUGCAAAUCCAUCCAGCCACAUGCAUUAGCUGACCUUGCAUAUGCAGAUCGGAUCCAGCCGUCUUGGCUAGACUGCGUGUCAAGGUGUCGCUCGCUCGUGAUGCGUGGAGUAGGCCGGAGCAUGUGCAGCGUCGGAGAAGGCGUCAUGCCAAUCACUGCUCGUGUGGAGCCGAUGCGUUGCACCGGGUCACAGACGAGGGUUUCGAUCGUGAAGAUGGAGAUCGUCGGGUUAAUUUGUGGCUAAAGGAGGAUAAUCAAUCUACUAAUGAAAUUGGAGAUUGGAAAUUUGCCUAAUCUAUAGAAAGCAAUCUAAUCUACUGGAUCGGAACGAAAUUGGACGGGAGCCCUCCGGGGAGACUAAGGAUGACGAUCUCCCCGGAGGCAGCAUGAUGCGGAAGGUGUGGUAAGGAUCGGCAAUGUUAGUCUAACCGCUCUGAUACCAUGUACAAAGAUGGGAUUGGAACCUAAUUGUACUAAUUGUAUUCCACGAUAUUUCUGAUGUUGUAUUGAUCUGAUCCUCGUAUGGGGUAUAUAUAGAGGUACAACGGGGGAGAUAGACUUGGAGUACAAGACAAGUAAUCUUGUUUAAACUGAUUCUAUCUUAUCUCUAAUCCUAACCAUAUUAUAUCUCUAACAAGGAUGAGCAUGGGAGAGAGAGAUGGCGACGGUGAGAGAAUGAAAGAGAAGGCAGCUGGUGAGAAGAACGAGAGAGAAGGAGGCGGAACAAGAUGAUUCUAGCUAGUUUUCCAAGGAACGGGUUUGUUCCGAAUCUUGGGGGAAUAUUCCUCUCGGAGGAACCAUUUGGUUCCAUUCUAUUUUGAUGUAUUCUUUCAACCAAAAAAGGAAUCAUCUUUAAAAGUGGAACUGUUCAAUUACAUUCCACUUCGCUCUCAGAACCAAACACUGACUUAAACUCCCUUCGGUUGAGCUGCGUUCGAUUUGGCUUGAUCUGGCUGUUUUUGUCUUGCGGUGGUUGGAUUUGGCAGCGUUUCCGGUCCGUGUUCUUCUCCGUACGGUUGAUUUCGAUUGUUGUUGGGCAGUUCGUUCUUGCAGGUCUCCACCGGACCCGUCAUCGCUCCGGCGGCCUCUGCCCGCGCAGGUGGCGGCCUCUAUUCCUGUGAAAUCAUAUGUGAUGUGUAACAUUGGCAAGUAUUUUAGAUGAAACAUUGAUGUGGAUACUAUGGAUAAUAUAGAUACUUAUGUGAUGACAUGAAUCUUGUUUUGGACUUAGUGAUUUGCUAUUGGUGUGUUGAUCCAUUAAAUUCUUAUGUGAAAACAUGAUGUGAGUUGUGUGGAACUUACCCUGGAGUCAAGUCGUGGACUUGUACUCGUACUGGUUAUUUGUGUGUUCACUUUCAGGUGUUGCCGGAGCUAGAGGAACGUUGUCGAUGACGGGAUCGAGGGACGAAGCUUGGGAGAAGCUGAGGUCGAGGGAUCAAGGUCAUGCGGAACGUUCGUGUGAAGGAACAAUGAAAGUGAAGGCUACGAUGAUCCGGGAUGGCACCGGUUUGUCGUACGUUGUUUAUACCGGAGAUGUAUGGUAUUGGAGAUAUUCGACACGUGAUGGUCGAGUUUUGAAGACAUCACAAGAAGAGUGGAUGGCAUGGAGUGGCAUCGACGUGAAGACAUGUAGGUCCAGCCGUGGCUGUAUGAGAGCUGUUUAAAGAUUAAACAGUAGCGUCAUCAAGAAGGCGUCUGAUGGAAAAGUGGUCCAGAUAAAAGUUGUGCGCGUCGUCGAUACGAACAACUGUUUUCUUUUGGAGUCAUCUCAAUCCGAGGUCGUAUGCGGGCCCCACGGACAGAAUACCGACCGGAACAGAGGAGUGCGUGUUGGAUUCGGACUCGGUUUAGGGUCGCGAAUUUUCUCUUAUAAAAUAGAGGGCGUCUAGGCUAGUGUUUCAGCAAGGACGUGAGGGAACUCAGAGCUUUGGAUCUAGAUCAAUCCUUGGAGAGUUAUUGGAUGCAUGGUUGCAUCUUUUGUAAUCAAUCGACAUCAUUGCAAUAAAAAGAUUCGUUGCGGUGUCAUCUCUGUUCUUCUCGGAUCUUCGUGGAUUCUUCGUGCUAGAUCUUUAACACUUUGCCGCAGGUUUAUCAUGAGUUCAUAAUACUUUGCUGCAGUUUUACCACGAGAUCAAAGAAUGAUCGCGAUUACUUCAUCUUUCUUGUUAUUCCUCGAAAUUGAUUAUAGAUUAAUUCUCAUAACUUUCUGUCAGCUGUUACUGUUUUGAUCAUAUCUUUUGAUUGGUACGUCCGAUUGAGCUGAUUCUUGUUGCAUUGGAUAGAUAAUUUCAAUACCUUUCUUUUGCGUACUCAAAUGUAAUUUUGGUCCAGCCUAUCUAAAGUUACAUUGGAUUUACUAUCACGAACAGAUUAGGGUUUUAGGGAUUGAACUUUCGGGAAAAGUUUUAAUUUGCUUGCGCACAAUCAUUCACCCGCCCCCCUCUGAUUGCCUAUCUCGAUCUCACAAUUGGUAUCAGAGCAAGGUCUCUCUAAUUUGUGUUAACCGGUUGAUUAGACUUGCUAGAUAUGGAUAGGUAUUCUACCAAACUCUGUGUGUUCGAUGGUGUUGAUUUUCAGUUUUGGAAGGCGAAGAUGAAGGCAUACAUCAUGGCACAAAGCUACGCCAUAUGGGAGAAGGUCGCCAAGCCCUACGAGCUUCCCGCGGACGAUGCGAUCACACCAACAAACUCGGUCCACGUGGAGAACAACUACAAGGUGAGGAACUAGAUCAUCCAAGGUCUACAACGAAGUGACUUCGACCGUGUCGCUCACCUUGCAUCCGCUCAUGAGGUAUGGAACGCACUUUGUAGUUAUCAUGAAGGAUCAAACUCUGUUAAGGAGGUGCGUCAGGAGUACAAAAAGGAGUACAUGAGAUUUGAGAUGAAUACACGUGAAUCUUUGGAUGAAUUCUUUGCACGCUUUAAUAAGAUUCUCAGCAACUUAAGUGCAUUAGGUGUUACCUAUACUGAUGCUGACGCUUCUAGACAACUUUUAAGUGCUUUAGAUAUGUUCAUAUGGGAGAUGAAAGUUACAUCUAUUAGAGAAUCUACAGUCAUGAGCACACUUACACUUGAUAUUUUAUACUCAAAACUGAAGACUCAUGAAUUAGAUGUUCUUGCUAGGGGAACCGGUUCCAAAUCAAUUGCACUUGUUUCUAACCCUAGCCGCUCUAAUGAUAAUACUUCUUCAUAUUGCUAUGCUCUGUCUUUUUUGUCUCAACUAACUGAUGAACAGCUAGAGCAAUACCCAAAGGAAGAAUUGGCACUCCUCACCUCUCGUUUUACACGUGCCCUGCAAAAUGUUCGUUCAAGGAAGAGAUGUGGGAACAAUGCUCCAAGGUGCUUUGAAUGUGGUGAUUUAAAUCACUUUCGCCAAAAUUGUCCCAAAUUCUUAUCCAAGAUGACGAAAGAAGAAAAUGGGGAGGACAAGAAGAAGAAGCGCCCCUUCAACAUCAAGAAUAAAAAGAGGGGCGACUUUGCUCGAGCGGUGGCCCACAGUAUUUUCUCUGUAAUCAAUGAAUAUGGUGAACCAUGCUUGAGUGAUGUGGAUAUCGAGUCUGAUGAAGAUGAUGCAUCCAAAGGCAAGCGCGACAUUAAUGGGAUGUGUCUUAUGGCUUGCAACAAGAGUACUACCUCCUGCGACGACUACGACAGUGACAGCAACAAUGAGGUAGAACUUUCUUAUGAUGAAUUACUUAAAAGUGCUAGGAAAUUGAGUUCCUUGCUUGAUCAUGCUACUAAAAGAAAUAUGACUUGAAAAUUGCAUCCUUGAAUUUUGAAAUUACUAAACAUAAGUCUAUGAUUCCUGAUGAUGAUUCCUGCAAGUCUUGUGAUUCUAUAUAUUCUGAGCUUACCUCUUUGCGUUCUAUUCAUGAUGAUACUCUUGAUAAGCUUAGAGUUGCAUUAGAAAACAAUGAGAAACCUAUUGUGCAUAAACGUAAACAAAUUAAUGAUGAUAGCAUGGAUACUUCUGAUUUGAAAGAUUCAACUUCUUGUAAUAAUUGUCAUAUUCUUGAAUUGAAGUUGAAAGAUGCAAAUGCUAGGGUUUCUUAUGUUGAAAAUGCUUUAUAUAUCCAUGAGGUUUCUUUGUGCGCUAAUUGUAGAAGUGGAAAACAAAUCAUGGAUGGUGCUUGUGAUAAUUGUAUUGCCCUGUCUCAUUAAGUUAAUUAUUUACAAGCAUCUUUGCAGAAAUUUUCUAAUGGGCACAAAAAUCUGAAUAUAAUCUUAGAUUAGUCUCAAGUGAGUAAAAAUAAGACCGGACUUGGUUCUAAUACACAUGCUCAUUUUAAGGCUAAUCCACCCACUAUUGUUAAGUCACUUGGCAAUGGAAUUUUUGAAACAUCUAACAAGCCAACCAAUGUGAUUUUUAAAUCUGCCGGCAUCAUGUCUAAUGAUACUUCAACAAGUGCAAAUGUAGGUCAUACAUCACAUGCUAAACCAUGGUGUAGGUUUUUGUUUUAGACUAGCUAGAGUAAUUAAAAAAGAAAGAAAACAAGCUAGAUCUAAUUUCUUCAAGUCACAUUAUGCUCAUGAUAAAAUUAUUACUCCCUGUUAUGUGCCUACGGUGAAUGUUUCACCUUCCGUUUCAAUUUGCACGAGACAUGUACAAUCUGUCCCAAUGUAUAAGGAUACUCGUGCUUUGCCUACUCGUCGUGUAUCUCAGUACUGGAUACCUAAAAGUUUUUUUAUCUAACCCCAGUACGAAGAUCUCGGCAUGUGUUUGUUGUUUGUAGGCAUUCGCUUGAGGAAGGGGAACAUAUGGCUAGUGGACUCCGGUUGUUCUCGUCGCAUGACCGGUGAUAAAAAUUGGUUCUCCUCCCUCACACAUGCAUCUCGGGCUAAAUGAAAGUGCAACUUAUGGAGAUGCUCAUAUUUCUACUUUUCUGGCGAAAGUUCUCUUAUUUGUAAUGCAGGAACAUAUGUUCAGGGGGAGGAAAUAUUUUUAGAACCCUUAUUGGUGCACGUUGCGUAUUAAAAACAAACAAAAUAAGGAUAGUGUUAUUUCUCGCAACAAAGCUAGGUUUCAAGCUUCCCCAAGCGCAUCACAUCUACAAGUUGUCAAAAGGAUUUUCAGAUAUCUUUUGGCAUUAGGCUUCUGCUUCCUCUAGUAUUAUAUUGCGUGCAUUUACGGAUGCUGAUUUUGGAGGUUGUAGAAUUGAUAGAAAGAGUACAUCUGGUACAUGCUUAUAUUUGGUGAUUCUUUAGUACUUUGCUCUUCUAAGAAAUAAAGUUCGGUUGCACAAUCUACUGCUGAAAGUGAAUAUGUAGCUGCUGCUUGCUGUUGCUCACAGAUUUUAUGGAUAAUAGCUACAAUGAAAGAUUAUGGGGUUACUUUAGAAAGUGCACCACUUUAUUGUGAUAACACUAGUGCUACAUGUAUUGCUAAAAACCCGGUGCAACAUUCUAGAACUAAGCACAUAGAUAUAAGAUAUCAUUUUCUUGGAGAUCAUGUUGAAAAACAAAAUGUUGUGCUCAACUUUAUAGAUACUGAACGUCAAUUGGCAAGCAUUUUUACUAAACUAUUGGAUUCUUCUCGGUUUGCUUUUCUUCGAGGUGAACUUGGAGUAAUCAAACCAUACGGGAUGGUUUGAGGGGGAGGUUGUUCUUCUUGUACGAUAUGUAAAAAAUCUUUUCAGUUGCUUCUUUUUCGUUCUUUUAUCUUUAAUAAAUAAAAAAUCUGAAAAAGUAAUGAGCAACCACGUUUAUGUUUUGAGGACAUUGUCAUUUUAUAUGUAUGCUCGUCUGAAGUAGUCUAUCACAUGACUUCUAAUACGAAUGAUAACUUGAACUAAAUUUUGUCAUGGUUAAACUUUGUUAGCUCUUUUGGUCUUGGAUACUUAAUUACUAGUAAUGAUGAAAAUAUAAUGGUAUCAAGGUUCCAAAUAUACAAAGACACGUGGUGUCAAGCAAUUUUUACUAAAUAAAUGCCAAUCUUGCUCUACAUCUUCAUGAGACUGCUUACCAUUGCACCUUGGUAUGAACUUGGAAGUUGCUGUGUUUAUUGAAACCUUUGUCUUAAGCUUCUGAUUGCUUACCAUUUGCCUUAAGCUUCUGAUUGUUAAUCAUUGCACUUUGGACAUAGGCUUGGCAUGGUGUUUUAAAUAUAGGCUUGACAAGGUUGAGUUGACUUGGCAUAUAAAUUCAAUGAAAAUAAAUGUUUUGCUUUUAUAAAGUGCUCUGUUUAAUGUAAUGUGCUGCAAGUUAUUUUGUAUACAAGUACUGAUGUAGUUGACAGAGGGAGACCAUGUCUUGCAAUAAAUCGUAACAAUACUUGAUUUUUAGUCAUGUGUAGAUUACAUCAUACUGACUUUUUACAUAACUUGGAUGCACAACUAUCAUGUUCAUGAUGUUUCAUAAUGCUUAUUACAACAAAGAAAAAUGAAAUAUGAAAAAAUAAACAAAAAAAAUCGUUUUUAUUUUAAAGAAACAUUUUUUGAAGCGGGGGAAAUAUUUUUGUGUGCUUUUGAUGAAAUUCAUUGUCAAAGGGGGAGAGAUUUCAACACAUGUACAUACCAUAUUUUACCAAUAUUUUGGUGUUUAUUGGUGUUUCUCCAACAUUUUGAUGUUUUUCGUUUUCUUUUCAAAACCUUGAAAAUCUGAGAGUUAAGUGAAUGUGUGUGCCAAUCAAUGUUCAAUGUCUAGUGUUAAGGAGAUGUUGCCAGUGUUUUCAUCAAGGGGGAGAUUGUGAAAUCAUAUGUGAUGUGUAACAUUUUUUUCUCACCAAAAACAGUAGGAGAGGCUCCUACUGCUAGUAAGAUUAUUAAUGUGAUGUGUAACAUAUUUACAAAUGUACAAAUAGGAGCAUUCCCCUAUUUUAUUCAGAAAAGAUCUAUCAAACUAGUAAGAGAAGGAGAAAGGGAUUGAGACACCCUACAGCCUAGUAGAGAUAAAUCUGAUUUGAACUUAACUAACCGACCCUGGAAAUUGGCUCUCUCCCCUUGAAAAUGAGUUUAUUUCUGAUUUUCCAGAUAUUCCAAGCAGCUAACGAAAACACCUCAAAAAAGAGAUGGUUAUUAAAUCUUCUUUUGAUCUCAGGAAGAGCUUCAAUGCAAGUAGAAUUUCUUGGCCAGUUUAUACCAAUGUGUCUCCAACACCUUUGACUGAAUGGACACUCCAAGAAGAGGUGAUUCAAGGUUUCUUCACUUCCAGUGUUACAAAGCACACAAUUCAAACUUGAAUCAAUAUUAAAGUGUCUCCUAGAGAGCAUAUUUCUGGUGUUCAAUCUGUCACUAAGAAGAAGCCAAGCAAAAACCUUCACCUUUAGAGUAUUUUUAGAUUUCCAAAUCCACUUAAAAGGGGCAGGUGUGAUGAUCCUGGAGUAACAAAGCUUAUAGAAUUUGCUUGAUGAAAAGGUAGUACCCCAAGUUGGCAGCCAGAGAUCAUUUCUGAGAGCUGAAAUAUCAGCAUGAAUUAUUAACUCAUCUAGGACAUGCAUUUCCUCAAGAGCUUCUGGAGAAAUUGGAGUUAAAAAUCCUGCAGCAACUGAGCCAAGGUAGCAAUAUUUCUCAAUAGACAUAUCUUCAUCUCUCGCAUAGGAAUAAAGGCAGGCCAAUUUUCUGGAGAUUAUUUCCUCUUUGUACCAAGAAUCCUUCCAUAAGAGAACCGUGUCACCAUUUCCUGGCUUACAAGAAGAAAUACCCCUAAAGAGGGGAAUUAAUUUCAGAAUAGCCUUCCACCAAAAUGAACCCACUGGACUCAUGGCCUGAGGGACACCCUGUUGAUAAUAUGUCUCCCAUAAUAAAGUAACCCAUGGGAUAUCAUCCUUGUUAAAAAAUUUAAAAAGAUGUUUGAGCAAUAAUCCUUGAUUCUGCAAUCUAAGAUUAAAGACUCCCAAACCACCAUGUUUCUUAGGUCGACACACCUUAUCCAAAGCAACCAGAGCAUUAUUAGAAUCCCCAUUAGCAGUUUUCUUACUCCAUAGACAUCUUCUUCUAAUCUUAUCAAUUUGAUCCACAAUUUUGAAAGGAAGUUGAUCCCUCGACCAUCACGUGCUAAUCUUAUUAAUGUGAUGUGUAACAUUGGCAAGUGUUUUAGAUGAAACAUUGAUGUGGAUACUUUGGAUAAUAUAGAUACUUAUGUGAUGACACAAAACUCCUUGAGAUGAAAGAAUGCGAUGCACCGGUAUCAAACAGUACGAGUGCUUCAAAAGAAUUUAGGCGGAAGGUGCCGAUUACGAUACCUUGUUCCUCCGUGAUUUCCUCCACGUUGAUAUGGUUCACAUUGCCCUUCUGGAAUGGGUUAGGCUUUGCUCCAGCCUCAUUGAACUUCUCAGGACAAUCAUUGGAAUAGUGCCCCAUCUUGUGACACUUAAAGCAUUGCACUUGGCUCAGAUCCCUGCCAGUGGUGCGGUUCUGCCCUGGGUUGCCGCCAUUGUUAUGGCCACUGCCCUUGUUGUUGUUGAUCCUUGGAUGCUGGUGCUGGUGGUUCCGGCUGCCAUUACCUCCCUGGUGGUGGUGGUGUCCUUGACCUCCAUGGCGGUGAUGGUGUCCACUCCCUCCAUGGUGAUUCUGGUGGUUGUUACCAUGCUUAACCAUCGAGGAGCUGCCACUACCCUUGGACGAGGUGUGCGGCUUUUGGUGUGGACCAGCGUGGUUAUUGCCAUGGUGAGGCCUCUUCUUCCUGUUUUCCAUCUGAUUCUGCUUGUUUUCAAGGAUGAUGGCUUUACCAUGAGGGACUGGUAGGUAGGGAUGUAAAUGACUGCCAGUUAAACGGCGAGUUCGUCGUUCAAGCCAUCCAAGAACCUUUCCCCGCGUUUUGCAUCAGUGUUGACAUCGUCCAGGGCAUAGCGAGACAACUUGUUGAAAGCCUCGAUAUAUUCUGACACGGUCCUGUUCCCUUGCCUCAGUUUGUGUAAUUCCCUCUUCUUUAAGCUCAGCACGCCCGCAGAGAUGUGGGCGGUACGGAAGGCAUCUUGGAACAUUUCCCAUGUGACCUCCUCCAUUUGUAAUCUAAUAGGUCUCCCACCAAGCUACGACAGGUCCUUCAAGUAGGUGAGCAGCAAAUCUCACCUUGUUAGCUUCAGUGCAGCCAACUGUUACUAGGCAUUUGCUCACAGAACGGAGCCAAUCAUCAGCCACAAUCGGUUCCGAGGAGCUGGUGAAAGUAGGUGGGCGCAACCUCAGAUAUCUGGUUAACAUGUCCACUUGAGGUGGUGGGUUGGUGAUACGGGUGCGGGUGGCCCGAUCUUUCGAUGAGAUUGGUAACUCUCGAUUUGGGUAGGAGGUGACGUUGACGAUCCGACUACGGCCUAGGAGGCAGCGCCUUAGCAAUCGAUACACCAACUCCAAAGGGUUAUUGAUCACGCGGGGGCACGAUCAACCUGACCACGAAGGUCUUUGUUCCUGCAAGCAAUCGAAGAACAAGCAAGAACAAGAUAAAUAGCGGAUGCAAUCUAAAAUUGCGAAUAUACUAUAUCAAACCAAUGUCUCAACGAGACGAUAAGUUGGGGUUCCGAAAGCGGUAAAACAGGUGGUCUAACCGACACACGCGAUUACACGAAGUAGUAGCGAUGGCUAACUUUUAACUAAACAAAACCCAAGGCUCCUUAGGGGGGCUCAUGGGGUAUAUAAAGGAGGAGGGAGAGAUAUUUUCGUCCACCUUGAAUAAGGAGUCCGAAAUCCCACUCUAUCUCUAACUUUCCUAACAAACUACAACUCUUUAGGAAACAGAAAAACAGAUCCGUCAUCUUGUUUUGUCCGCCACGGUCAGCACGAGUCGAAUCUCUUGAUGGGGCCAGAUCCCUUGGAAAGGUCUUGUAAUUACCUUUCCAACAAGUACUUGUUUGCUUGAUUUGGACUCCGGAUGCGGCCUGGGUGAUUAAAACAAAUUCGGGUCUCCUGGCAGCUCGGACCCGAAUCGGAUUCCACUUUAAUUCGUGAUGUCUUUCUCUAGCAAGCUCCGAAUCAUGUGCCGUUUGAUUUCUUGGAAAGUAGACUUGAUAGGCUUCACUUUGAAUCUCCCUUUGCAGGCUAUCACACUUCAUCUUCACUUUGGAUUUGUAAAGUUCAUUAAGAUGCCUACAUAAUAAGAUUACACAAGAUAGUAGCUCCGCCUCAUUGCAAGUAACAUAUUGAAAACAUUUUGUAAUUGAAUUCACCUGAUUAUAAUUGUUAUUAGAUACACCAACAAUUAGGGUUCUAAUGGUCGUAUCCAUGGUGAUCAUGUCCAUAUCAUCCUCCCUUUCUUGAAAGAAAAGCCGUCCUCGGCGUCGUUUGUGCUGAAAAGAGACUGACAAAAUAGACAAAGUGUGUGCAUGGUAUAUGUAUAUGUCAUCAAUUUUAACUCCACUCCCAUGCUGCACAUUCGAUGUUUCACGUAAAUAAAACUCAUAAUAGUGCAAAAAAUUAAUAGUCAUAUUCCAACAGCAAGUAUCACAUUUUAAUUUGUAAUUCUCAUCAUUAAACGAUCCUAAUGUAGGUGAACAAUAAUUCAGAAUUCCCAAAUGGCGAGCUACAAUAUGCGUCAAUGUGCAAUCAUGCCAUAAGUUAUUUGUCGUACAACUAUCACCAAUAUUAGAGGUCAUAUCAAAAUGAUUGAGCAUACACAAAAUAUUGUUGUCUCUCAAAUCAAGAAAGUUGUCACAAGCAAUGCAAAUCUGAUGCACCAAAACUUUAUUGUUGACAUCAUGUUCUCCAAUUAAUUGAAUAGUGUAUCCAUGGGCAUUAGCAAAAGAUUUUGAAAUUGUUAACUCAGAAACUUUAUCCAUUGCAUGUGACAAAUAUAUAGGUGUAUCAAGUGUAAUAUAACACAAAGAAUUAAUAGGUGGAUCCUUAUCAAUCACUCCAUGUCUAAUCAACUCGAAACAACCUAAAUCAAAUUUAUCUAUCUCACUUGUUUCUCCCAAAACAUUAGUUCUUUCCUCACAUGAUUCGUUCUCAUCAAUAUCAAAAUCAAUUUGUGCACUCAAAUCAUUAGAAGAAUUAAUUUCAGUAGUAGGUGCACUUGAAUCACCAUGUACGACAAUAAUUUCACAUGGUGCAGAAAAUUCAACAGGUAUCACAUUUAUUUCAUCACAUGCCCUUUUUAGUUCAGCAACACAAUCCUCUGUAUCACUACCUUGUGGGCUCGACUCAUUUGUAGUAGACCCUCGCUGUAAUUUCCUCUCAACUUUACGAGCAAGAUUAAGCAAACACAAAAGAGAGUCGUAUUUUCCAUAUUCAAUCAUGUAAGAAAUAUCAAAGUUAAGCCCACAAUAAAACCUAUCCAUUUUUCUUUGUUCGGUUUCAUCUAAACCAGAUCGCAAGGUUAUAAUUUGGAACUCAUUGUAGUAAUCAUCAACAGUUUUAUCAUCUUGUGCCAAACGUCGUAAUUUUGAACGCAAGUUAAAAGCAUAACUAAAAGGGACAUAUUUUUCUCUCAUGAUUUUCUUCAUAUCAACCCAAGUGUGGGGAAUUUUCUUUUCUCUAACUAUCUCAUUCCACCAAGAUAAAGCAGCAAAAGUAAAUUUACUACUAGCAAUUUGAACCUUACGACUAUCUAGUACAUCGAAGCAUGUGAACUGUUCAGUUAAAGCUAGCUCCCAAUCUAUAUACGUUUCAGCAUCAUUUUCCCCCUCAAAGAAAGGUACACACAAUUUAAUUGUAUUAGAAGGAUUGUUUUGUACCGUUGCCGUGGCAUUAUCAACAAGAGACGUGGAAGAUGGCCGUGGUGAAAAGCACUCAUCGCGGUCACGGGAUAGCAUCGGUCUAGUUGCCAUGCUUCGUGUAAGUCCUGUCAUGGUUAGUAGAAAACAAGAAACAAAACACAGUAAUAUGUUCCUAUCAACUACUAGGAUGUGGCUACAAGUCGCUCAACUCUCAAGCUAAAAAUCAAGUUCUUACAAGUUCUUACCAUGCAAAACAGGAAGGUGAUGGCCAGCGGCGUGACCAAGCCCUCCGAAUAUUAAAUGUAUCAAUGCCUCGGUAACAAACCAACCUAGGUGUAGAAUCUGUGGAGCUUGGAGGCUUUUGUGAGUAGCAAGGAAUAGCAAAUAAUCAAAUCAGCAAUGCAAAGUUGAAAAUAUGCUCAAUAAUGCUAGUCCUAGCUGCUGGAGUCGAUAAGAACGAAUUACAGAAAUAAUCUAAGCCUAGAUACUGAAAAAGGUAGGAUAGAAAGAUGGCACAACAAGUAAAUCCCUGGGAUUUUUUUUCUUUUUUUUUUCUUUUUGUGGCCUUCUGUUUGGCUUCUUAUUCUUUUCUUCUUCUUUUUUUCUUUUUUCUUUUUUAACCCCAGAAACUCACGCAAAAGAAGGACCGGAAAACUGUACGUCGGUCUGCCGAAGAACAGCAAAGGCUGCAGUAAGAAAAAUUCAGAAAAAUAUGAAAAAAUAUGGGUUAGAAGCGUAUCAAAACAAGCUUUCCAACAAGUGCAAGAUCACUCGAAAUGGAGGUCGGACGGUGGAGAAAACUGAGAUAUACUGCGCUGCCCUGGUGCCGUAAAACGGGUGCAGAAACUUUGGAGCUCGAAAAGUCCACCUUAGAUGCCGAAUUUGAGGGUCAAAGUGCAGGGCGGCGCCCUGGAUAUUUCCUGAUGUGCCUCGUCGUGAGCUUUCCAAAAAGUCCAAGAACGUCCAAAUCCGAGUUGGUAUGCAAAAGAUACGUCCGUUUUACUGAACACGGGCCAAACCCACCCGAAACUAAAAUUCUACUCGGACUCGGGUCCGAAACUGACUCGAACUCUUUCUCUCUUUUUUUUUCGUUUUUUUUUUCUUUCUUUCUUCCCUUUUUUUUUUUCUUUCCCUUCUUUUUUUUUCACAACUUUCCGAACAACUUGAUCUCUAACAAAAUUCGAUCUAUUAUGAAACACUUUCCAAAAGCACUCUUGAUUGGACUCGGACUCGAACUCACGGCUGAAAACUAUAACUUGCCGAUUCGAUGUAGGACUCGACGAGGGACUCGGUGUAGGACUCGAAGAGGGACUCGGUGUAGGACUGGAAGAAGGACUCGGUGUAGGACUCGAAGAGGGACUCGGUGUAGGACUCGAAGAGGGACUCGGUGGAAGAUAUGGUGGCGGCGGAAGAUUAUGGCGGUGGUGUGGCAGGAAGUUUGGCGGCGGAAGAUUGAUGAAGGAAACCUGCGUCACACGAAGAACAAGAAAACCAAAAGCAAGUUCGAUCUAGUAGAAAAAAUCUGAAAAACGAUCCAAUCUAAUCCAGCAACUCGACACGAUUAAUGCAGCAAAGAUUCAACAAUGCAAAUACUAAUGUGAAAAUUGCAAAGCUCAGAUUGGUUCUAGGACAAGGUAACUAAUUCUAUUUUUUGUUUGGCUUUUUCUGGACGAUAGGUAAAAACAGAUCUAAACUAUGGAUAAACUGGAAAAAUCUCACCGAGCAACCUUAAGCUCUGAUACCACGUGAUACGGGUGCGGGUGGCCCGAUCUUUCGAUGAGAUUGGUAACUCUCGAUUUGGGUAGGAGGUGACGUUGACGAUCCGACUACGGCCUAGGAGGCAGCGCCUUAGCAAUCGAUACACCAACUCCAAAGGGUUAUUGAUCACGCGGGGGCACGAUCAACCUGACCACGAAGGUCUUUGUUCCUGCAAGCAAUCGAAGAACAAGCAAGAACAAGAUAAAUAGCGGAUGCAAUCUAAAAUUGCGAAUAUACUAUAUCAAACCAAUGUCUCAACGAGACGAUAAGUUGGGGUUCCGAAAGCGGUAAAACAGGUGGUCUAACCGACACACGCGAUUACACGAAGUAGUAGCGAUGGCUAACUUUUAACUAAACAAAACCCAAGGCUCCUUAGGGGGGCUCAUGGGGUAUAUAAAGGAGGAGGGAGAGAUAUUUUCGUCCACCUUGAAUAAGGAGUCCGAAAUCCCACUCUAUCUCUAACUUUCCUAACAAACUACAACUCUUUAGGAAACAGAAAAACAGAUCCGUCAUCUUGUUUUGUCCGCCACGGUCAGCACGAGUCGAAUCUCUUGAUGGGGCCAGAUCCCUUGGAAAGGUCUUGUAAUUACCUUUCCAACAAGUACUUGUUUGCUUGAUUUGGACUCCGGAUGCGGCCUGGGUGAUUAAAACAAAUUCGGGUCUCCUGGCAGCUCGGACCCGAAUCGGAUUCCACUUUAAUUCGUGAUGUCUUUCUCUAGCAAGCUCCGAAUCAUGUGCCGUUUGAUUUCUUGGAAAGUAGACUUGAUAGGCUUCACUUUGAAUCUCCCUUUGCAGGCUAUCACACUUCAUCUUCACUUUGGAUUUGUAAAGUUCAUUAAGAUGCCUACAUAAUAAGAUUACACAAGAUAGUAGCUCCGCCUCAUUGCAAGUAACAUAUUGAAAACAUUUUGUAAUUGAAUUCACCUGAUUAUAAUUGUUAUUAGAUACACCAACAAUUAGGGUUCUAAUGGUCGUAUCCAUGGUGAUCAUGUCCAUAUCAUCCUCCCUUUCUUGAAAGAAAAGCCGUCCUCGGCGUCGUUUGUGCUGAAAAGAGACUGACAAAAUAGACAAAGUGUGUGCAUGGUAUAUGUAUAUGUCAUCAAUUUUAACUCCACUCCCAUGCUGCACAUUCGAUGUUUCACGUAAAUAAAACUCAUAAUAGUGCAAAAAAUUAAUAGUCAUAUUCCAACAGCAAGUAUCACAUUUUAAUUUGUAAUUCUCAUCAUUAAACGAUCCUAAUGUAGGUGAACAAUAAUUCAGAAUUCCCAAAUGGCGAGCUACAAUAUGCGUCAAUGUGCAAUCAUGCCAUAAGUUAUUUGUCGUACAACUAUCACCAAUAUUAGAGGUCAUAUCAAAAUGAUUGAGCAUACACAAAAUAUUGUUGUCUCUCAAAUCAAGAAAGUUGUCACAAGCAAUGCAAAUCUGAUGCACCAAAACUUUAUUGUUGACAUCAUGUUCUCCAAUUAAUUGAAUAGUGUAUCCAUGGGCAUUAGCAAAAGAUUUUGAAAUUGUUAACUCAGAAACUUUAUCCAUUGCAUGUGACAAAUAUAUAGGUGUAUCAAGUGUAAUAUAACACAAAGAAUUAAUAGGUGGAUCCUUAUCAAUCACUCCAUGUCUAAUCAACUCGAAACAACCUAAAUCAAAUUUAUCUAUCUCACUUGUUUCUCCCAAAACAUUAGUUCUUUCCUCACAUGAUUCGUUCUCAUCAAUAUCAAAAUCAAUUUGUGCACUCAAAUCAUUAGAAGAAUUAAUUUCAGUAGUAGGUGCACUUGAAUCACCAUGUACGACAAUAAUUUCACAUGGUGCAGAAAAUUCAACAGGUAUCACAUUUAUUUCAUCACAUGCCCUUUUUAGUUCAGCAACACAAUCCUCUGUAUCACUACCUUGUGGGCUCGACUCAUUUGUAGUAGACCCUCGCUGUAAUUUCCUCUCAACUUUACGAGCAAGAUUAAGCAAACACAAAAGAGAGUCGUAUUUUCCAUAUUCAAUCAUGUAAGAAAUAUCAAAGUUAAGCCCACAAUAAAACCUAUCCAUUUUUCUUUGUUCGGUUUCAUCUAAACCAGAUCGCAAGGUUAUAAUUUGGAACUCAUUGUAGUAAUCAUCAACAGUUUUAUCAUCUUGUGCCAAACGUCGUAAUUUUGAACGCAAGUUAAAAGCAUAACUAAAAGGGACAUAUUUUUCUCUCAUGAUUUUCUUCAUAUCAACCCAAGUGUGGGGAAUUUUCUUUUCUCUAACUAUCUCAUUCCACCAAGAUAAAGCAGCAAAAGUAAAUUUACUACUAGCAAUUUGAACCUUACGACUAUCUAGUACAUCGAAGCAUGUGAACUGUUCAGUUAAAGCUAGCUCCCAAUCUAUAUACGUUUCAGCAUCAUUUUCCCCCUCAAAGAAAGGUACACACAAUUUAAUUGUAUUAGAAGGAUUGUUUUGUACCGUUGCCGUGGCAUUAUCAACAAGAGACGUGGAAGAUGGCCGUGGUGAAAAGCACUCAUCGCGGUCACGGGAUAGCAUCGGUCUAGUUGCCAUGCUUCGUGUAAGUCCUGUCAUGGUUAGUAGAAAACAAGAAACAAAACACAGUAAUAUGUUCCUAUCAACUACUAGGAUGUGGCUACAAGUCGCUCAACUCUCAAGCUAAAAAUCAAGUUCUUACAAGUUCUUACCAUGCAAAACAGGAAGGUGAUGGCCAGCGGCGUGACCAAGCCCUCCGAAUAUUAAAUGUAUCAAUGCCUCGGUAACAAACCAACCUAGGUGUAGAAUCUGUGGAGCUUGGAGGCUUUUGUGAGUAGCAAGGAAUAGCAAAUAAUCAAAUCAGCAAUGCAAAGUUGAAAAUAUGCUCAAUAAUGCUAGUCCUAGCUGCUGGAGUCGAUAAGAACGAAUUACAGAAAUAAUCUAAGCCUAGAUACUGAAGAAGGUAGGAUAGAAAGAUGGCACAACAAGUAAAUCCCUGGGAUUUUUUUUCUUUUUUUUUUCUUUUUGUGGCCUUCUGUUUGGCUUCUUAUUCUUUUCUUCUUCUUUUUUUCUUUUUUCUUUUUUAACCCCAGAAACUCACGCAAAAGAAGGACCGGAAAACUGUACGUCGGUCUGCCGAAGAACAGCAAAGGCUGCAGUAAGAAAAAUUCAGAAAAAUAUGAAAAAAUAUGGGUUAGAAGCGUAUCAAAACAAGCUUUCCAACAAGUGCAAGAUCACUCGAAAUGGAGGUCGGACGGUGGAGAAAACUGAGAUAUACUGCGCUGCCCUGGUGCCGUAAAACGGGUGCAGAAACUUUGGAGCUCGAAAAGUCCACCUUAGAUGCCGAAUUUGAGGGUCAAAGUGCAGGGCGGCGCCCUAGAUAUUUCCUGAUGUGCCUCGUCGUGAGCUUUCCAAAAAGUCCAAGAACGUCCAAAUCCGAGUUGGUAUGCAAAAGAUACGUCCGUUUUACUGAACACGGGCCAAACCCACCCGAAACUAAAAUUCUACUCGGACUCGGGUCCGAAACUGACUCGAACUCUUUCUCUCUUUUUUUUUCGUUUUUUUUUUCUUUCUUUCUUCCCUUUUUUUUUUUCUUUCCCUUCUUUUUUUUUCACAACUUUCCGAACAACUUGAUCUCUAACAAAAUUCGAUCUAUUAUGAAACACUUUCCAAAAGCACUCUUGAUUGGACUCGGACUCGAACUCACGGCUGAAAACUAUAACUUGCCGAUUCGAUGUAGGACUCGACGAGGGACUCGGUGUAGGACUCGAAGAGGGACUCGGUGUAGGACUGGAAGAAGGACUCGGUGUAGGACUCGAAGAGGGACUCGGUGUAGGACUCGAAGAGGGACUCGGUGGAAGAUAUGGUGGCGGCGGAAGAUUAUGGCGGUGGUGUGGCAGGAAGUUUGGCGGCGGAAGAUUGAUGAAGGAAACCUGCGUCACACGAAGAACAAGAAAACCAAAAGCAAGUUCGAUCUAGUAGAAAAAAUCUGAAAAACGAUCCAAUCUAAUCCAGCAACUCGACACGAUUAAUGCAGCAAAGAUUCAACAAUGCAAAUACUAAUGUGAAAAUUGCAAAGCUCAGAUUGGUUCUAGGACAAGGUAACUAAUUCUAUUUUUUGUUUGGCUUUUUCUGGACGAUAGGUAAAAACAGAUCUAAACUAUGGAUAAACUGGAAAAAUCUCACCGAGCAACCUUAAGCUCUGAUACCACGUGAUACGGGUGCGGGUGGCCCGAUCUUUCGAUGAGAUUGGUAACUCUCGAUUUGGGUAGGAGGUGACGUUGACGAUCCGACUACGGCCUAGGAGGCAGCGCCUUAGCAAUCGAUACACCAACUCCAAAGGGUUAUUGAUCACGCGGGGGCACGAUCAACCUGACCACGAAGGUCUUUGUUCCUGCAAGCAAUCGAAGAACAAGCAAGAACAAGAUAAAUAGCGGAUGCAAUCUAAAAUUGCGAAUAUACUAUAUCAAACCAAUGUCUCAACGAGACGAUAAGUUGGGGUUCCGAAAGCGGUAAAACAGGUGGUCGACCACGUGAUACGGGUGCGGGUGGCCCGAUCUUUCGAUGAGAUUGGUAACUCUCGAUUUGGGUAGGAGGUGACGUUGACGAUCCGACUACGGCCUAGGAGGCAGCGCCUUAGCAAUCGAUACACCAACUCCAGAGGGUUAUUGAUCACGCGGGGGCACGAUCAACCUGACCACGAAGGUCUUUGUUCCUGCAAGCAAUCGAAGAACAAGCAAGAACAAGAUAAAUAGCGGAUGCAAUCUAAAAUUGCGAAUAUACUAUAUCAAACCAAUGUCUCAAGGAGACGAUAAGUUGGGGUUCCGAAAGCGGUAAAACAGGUGGUCUAACCGACACACGCGAUUACACGAAGUAGUAGCGAUGGCUAACUUUUAACUAAACAAAACCCAAGGCUCCUUAGGGGGGCUCAUGGGGUAUAUAAAGGAGGAGGGAGAGAUAUUUUCGUCCACCUUGAAUAAGGAGUCCGAAAUCCCACUCUAUCUCUAACUUUCCUAACAAACUACAACUCUUUAGGAAACAGAAAAACAGAUCCGUCAUCUUGUUUUGUCCGCCACGGUCAGCACGAGUCGAAUCUCUUGAUGGGGCCAGAUCCCUUGGAAAGGUCUUGUAAUUACCUUUCCAACAAGUACUUGUUUGCUUGAUUUGGACUCCGGAUGCGGCCUGGGUGAUUAAAACAAAUUCGGGUCUCCUGGCAGCUCGGACCCGAAUCGGAUUCCACUUUAAUUCGUGAUGUCUUUCUCUAGCAAGCUCCGAAUCAUGUGCCGUUUGAUUUCUUGGAAAGUAGACUUGAUAGGCUUCACUUUGAAUCUCCCUUUGCAGGCUAUCACACUUCAUCUUCACUUUGGAUUUGUAAAGUUCAUUAAGAUGCCUACAUAAUAAGAUUACACAAGAUAGUAGCUCCGCCUCAUUGCAAGUAACAUAUUGAAAACAUUUUGUAAUUGAAUUCACCUGAUUAUAAUUGUUAUUAGAUACACCAACAAUUAGGGUUCUAAUGGUCGUAUCCAUGGUGAUCAUGUCCAUAUCAGUUGGGGUGCUGGUUGUUGUUGUUGUUGUUGUUGUUGUCGUCGUCGUCGUUCUUGUUGUUGUUGUUGUUGUUGUUGUUGUUGUUGUCGUUGUCGUCGUCGUCGUCGUCGUCGUCGUUGUUGUUGUUGUUGGAGAUACAUGGACCAAUUACUAGAGCUCGUGCACGACAACUAAAUUGUCAGGUACUUUCGUUCCUCAGUACUUCAUUUAAUAUUAAUGAGAAUAUGCUGUUGCCUAAGAUGGGUUCUUUUAAGUGUUUUAGGAAUGAAGGAUCUAACUUGGACCUCAAGGAUCAGCGUUGGACAGCAAACCAUGGAGGUGGCAGCAAGGUGGCGGGAGCUAGCUCAAGUGAUGAUUUCAGAACAUUGAAACCGCCAUAACGAGAGAUGUGAAGAAGGCCGCAUCCUCUUCAUCAAUGGGAUUUCGGCCAAGUGGAGGAUUCCCCCUCCAAUGGGUAUCUAUGGGCCAAAAAUGAGGGUUAUAACCUUGCUUUAUUAGGCCUAAGGCCAUGUAAUAGGGUCCAGCCAAUUUUUAGAUGUUUUCGUUGUGUUUUAGGAGGAUUCCUAGGCCGUUUUGGAGUCCCUCAAGGGCCUGGCCGAAAACCACCUAGUUCCCCUCCUAUUUAUACCCCAUGAGUCCCCCUAUGGAGCCUUGGGUUUUGAUUAGAUAAAGUUUAGCCUUUGCUACUUUCGUGUAAUCGCGUGUGUCGGUUAGACCACCUGUUUUACCGUCAUCAAGACUCCAACUAUAUUGAGUAUUCAGAUUCGUGAACAUAUCUCCUAUUCGCAAUUUCAGAUUGCUUUUCAUCUUGUUCUUGCUUGUUCUUCGAUUGCUUGCAGGAACAAAGACCUUCGUGGUCAUGUUGAUCGUGCCCCCACGGGAUCAAUAACCUUCUGGAGUUGGUGUAUCGAUCGCUAAGGCGCUGCCUCCUAGGUUGUAGUCGGAUCGUCAACGUCACCUCCUACCAAAUCGAUAAUUAGGUAUCUCAUCGAAAGAUCGGGACACCCUCCAGGCUAUCACGUGGUAUCAGAGCUUAAGGUUGCUCGGUGAGAUCUUUCAAUUUAUCCCUAGAUUAGAUCCGUUUUUUUUUACCUAUCGUCAAGAAAAAGCCAAAAAAAAUUAGAUUAGUUACCUAGUCCUAGAACCAAUCUGAGCCUUGCAGUUUUCACAUUAGUUUUGCAUUGUUGAAUCUUUGCUGCAUUAAUCGUGUCAAGUUGCUGGAUUAGAUUGGAUCGUUUUUCAGAUUUUUUCUACUGGAUCGAACUUGUUUUUGUCUUUUGAUUUCGUGUGACGCAGGCUUUCCAUCAAUCUUCCACCGCGAAACUUCCUGCCACACCACCGCCAUAAUCUUCCGCUGCCACCAUAUCUGCCACCGAGUCCCUCUUCGAGUCCUACACCGAGUCACUCUUCGAGUCGUACACCGAGUCCCUCGUCGAGUCGUACACCGAGUCGGCAAGUUAUAGUUUUCAGCCGUGAGUUCGAGUCCGAGUCCAAUCAAGAGUGCUUUCGGAAAGUGUUUCAUAAUAGAUCGAAUUUUGUUUAGAGAUCAAGUUGUUCGGAAAGUUGUGAAAAAAAAGAAAGGAAAGAAAAAAAAAGGAAAGUAAGAAAGUAAAAAAACCGGAAAAAAAGAGAAAGAGUUCGAGUUAGUUUCGGACCCGAGUCCAAGUAGAAUUAGAGUUUCGGGUGGGUUUGACCCGUGUUCACUAAAACGGGCGUAUCUUUUGCAUACGAAGUCGGAUUUGGACGUUCCAGGACUUUUCGGAAAGCUCUCGAUGAGGCGCAUCCUCUAAAAUUAAUGGCUCCUUGACCCUCAAAUUCGGCCUCUAAGGUCGACUUUUUGAGCUCCGAAGUUUCUGCACCUGUUUUUCGGCACCGGGGCAGCGCAGUAUAUCUCAGUUUUCUCCACCAUCCGACCUCCGUUUCGAGUGAUCUUGCACUUGUUGGAAAGCUUGUUUUGAUACGCUUCGAACCCAUAUUUUCUCAUUUUUUUUCUGAGUUUUCCUUACUACAGUCUUUGCUAUUCUUCUACAGACCGACGUGCAGCUUUCCGGUCUUAACUUCUUUUGCGUGAGUUUCUGGGGACAAAAAAACAGAAAAAAAAUAGAAAAGAAUAAGAAGCCAAACAGAAGGCCACAAGAAGAAAAAAAAGACAAAAAAAUAUUCCCCAGAGAUUUACUUGUUUUACCUUUCAUUUGAUCUUUCCUUUCUACCUUCUUCAGUAUCUAGGCUUAGAUUAUUUCUGUAAUUCGUUCUUAUCGACUCCAGCAGCUAGGACUAGCAUUUUUGAGCAUAUUUUCAACUUUGCAUUGCUGAUUUGAUUAUUUGCUUUUCCUUGCUACUCACAUAAGCCUCCAAGCUCCACAGGUUCUACACCUAGGUUGGUUUGCCGCGAGGCAUCGAUACAUUAAUCUUCGGAGGGCUUGUUCUCGCCGCUAGCCAUCACCUUCCUGUUUGCUGGGUAAGAACGAGUAAGAACUUGAUUAAAAGUUGAGUGGAGUGAUCUUUGGAACCCCACAUCCUAGUAGUGCAUAGGGACUUUUCCUUGUGAUUUGUUUCUUGUUUUCUCCUAACGAUAGCAGGUUCUGACGAUGAUUUACAAGGCCACUCUCCACGCACAAAGGGCAUUAUUUCACAUUUUGAUCGCAAGCUUAGGCUCCGUAACGAGGAGCUGGAUGAGGACAUUCGGGUUGCGAAUGAGAGACUUGGAACCUUGGAGAGCGCGCACAUUGAAACAAAUACCAAGCUAACAUCUUUACAGAAUUCUGUUGCUACCAUUAGUACUUCUCUGGCAGAAAUCACAACGCAACUGGCGGCACUUGCUGCAACAACCAUCGCUUUAUCGGGAGGAAACAAUACACACAACCAGCGGACCACUAAUAACGGUACCUUCGCAAGUGAGGUUGAGGAGAAUGACCACGACUACUCCGCGGAUACGGAACAAGACGGGGCCGUAAACCAUCACAACGACCAUGAUCAUCGCUGAACUCGUUUCAACCGCCGAGGUAUGGGACCGACACGACCUCAAAGAGAGGAACAUGACUCGCUGCAUUCUAUUAAAGUUAAGGUUCCUCCUUUUGAUGGAAAAUAUGACCCUGAUGCUUACCUUACAUGGGAAAUAGAAUUGAGUCAAAAAUUGACUUGCCAUGAUUUUCGUGCUAAUAAGAGGGUUAGGGCUGCUACUAGUGAGUUUACUGAUUUUGCUUCUGUUUGGUGGCAUGAUUAUUGUAUUGCACAUCCUCACGCUAUACCACCAACAUGGGAUGAUUUGAAAAGAAUUAUGCGCGCUAGAUAUGUUCCUUCAUACUAUUCGCGUGACUUGUUAAAGAAACUACAACAAUUAAGGCAAGGUAGUAAUUCUGUCCAAGAUUAUUAUCAAGAAAUGCAAAAGAACAUGUUACGUUGUGGUUUAGUUUAGAAUGAGGAAGCUGCUAUGGCUAGAUUCUUUGGUGGUUUAAAUCGUGAAAUUGCUGACAUCGUUGGUUAUAAGGAGUACAAUUCUAUCAAUCGAUUGUUUCACAUUGCUUGCAAAGCUGAAAGGGAAGUGCAGGGAUGACACGCGAACGUGCGGACUAACUUUUCUGCAGGUCGUACUUCCUCAUGGGCAGCACGCAGCCCCGCUGCCCCUUCCACACGCCCAGCUGCACCCCCUACACAUCUGGCUGUUCCGACUACUUCCACCAACAAGCAAAGUACCUCAGCAGCAACAAGAAAUACACCCGCUGCCUCUGCACAAAGUUCAGCAGCGUCCGUUGCUUCCAAACAAAAGGGGUCAUCAAGGAGCGCGUUGUUCGUAUCAUCAUAGAUGGGGGAAGUUGCAAUAAUUUGGCCAGCACAGAGAUGGUGGAAAAACUUGUUCUUACCACCAGGCCGCACCCCCACCCUUACUACAUUCAAUGGUUUAACAACAGCGGUAAGGUCAAGGUAAGUAGAACAGUCCGUGCACGCUUUACUAUUGGUACAUAUUCUGAUUUUGUGGAUUGUGAUGUGGUACCUAUGCAAGCAUGUUCUAUGUUACUCGGUCAUCCAUGGCAAUAUGAUACAGAUUCUGUUCAUCAUGGUAGAACUAAUCAUUAUUCUUUUAUCCAUGCUGGUAAGAAAAUUGGUUUGAAACCUAUGACUCCUGAACAAAUUGUGAAAGAUGAUCUUGCUAGAGCUAGUAGAGCAAAGAGCAAAGAGAAGGAUAAGAGUGAGUACCAGAAUGUCGCUAAAGAAUUUAAGCACCAAGCGUCUACUAGCAAAUCUGAACCGAAACAUGUUAAUGAAAUUAAAUUGAAAGGUGCAUGCUUGCUUGCAAGUAAAUCGGAUAUUUCUGAGUUAGAUAUGAAUAAUGCUGUUUGCUAUGCAUUACUUUGCAAAAAGGCUUUGUUUUCAUUUGAGGAUAUGCCUCCCUCUUUGCCCCCUGCUGUUACUCACGUUUUGCAGGAGUAUUCCGACGUCUUUCCACAAGACGUACCACCAGGAUUACCACCUAUUCGAGGGGUUGAACAUCAAAUUGAUUUAAUCUCUGGUGCUUCGCUGCCCAACCGUGCGCCCUACCGUACCAAUCCAGAGGAGACGAAGGAGAUUCAACGACAAGUUCAAGAAUUGCUCGACAAAGGUUAUGUUCGUGAAUCCCUUAGUCCUUGUGCUGUUCCUGUUAUUUUGGUACCAAAGAAAGAUGGUUCUUGGUGUAUGUGUGUAGAUUGUAGAGCUAUUAAUAACAUUACUAUUCGCUAUCGUCACCCAAUUCCUAGACUUCAUGAUAUGUUAGAUGAAUUAAGUGGCUCUACCGUGUUCUCUAAAGUUGAUUUACGUAGUGGUUACCACCAAAUUCGAAUGAAAUUAGGCGAUGAAUGGAAAACAGCAUUUAAAACUAAGUUUGGACUAUAUGAGUGGUUAGUCAUGCCUUUCGGUCUUACUAAUGCACCUAGCACUUUCAUGCGGUUAAUGAACGAAGUUUUACAUGCUUUCAUAGGACGAUUUGUGGUGGUUUAUUUUGAUGAUAUAUUGAUUUACAACAGCUCUUUAGAAGACCACUUGAAUCAUUUACGUGCUGUUUUUGAUGCUUUGAGAGAUGCACGUUUGUUUGGUAACCUUGAGAAGUGCACCUUUUGCACCGAUCGAGUUUCGUUUCUUGGCUAUGUUGUCAUUCCACAGGGCAUAGAAGUUGAUAAGGCCAAGAUCGACGCUAUUCAAAGCUGGCCAACUCCAACAAUGGUCACCCAAGUGAGGAGCUUUCUUGGACUCGCUGGGUUUUAUCGCCGCUUUGUUAAGGAUUUCAGCACCCUUGCUGCACCGCUUAAUGAGCUCACAAAGAAGGACGUUCCAGAUGUAUGGGGCGCUGCACAAGAAGAAGCUUUUCUCGUAUUGAAAGAUAAGUUGACACAUGCUCCUUUACUCCAACUUCCUGAUUUUAAUAAGACUUUUGAGUUGGAGUGUGAUGCUAGUGGAAUCGGUUUAGGAGGUGUGUUGUUACAAGAUGGAAAACCUGUUGCAUACUUUAGUGAAAAAUUGAUUGGGCUUAGUCUGAAUUAUUCUACUUAUGAUAAGGAAUUAUAUGCUCUCGUUCGGACUUUAGAAAAACAUGACAACAUUAUUUAUGGCCCAAAGAAUUUGUUAUACAUUUUGAUCAAGAAUCUUUGAAGCAUAUUCGUAGUCAAGCAAAGCUGAACCGUCGUCAUGCUAAAUGGGUUGAAUUUAUUGAGUCUUUUCCAUAUGUUAUUAAACAUAAGAAGGGUAAAGAUAAUGUUAUUGCUGAUGCGUUCACGUCGUUAUACCUUGUUAUCUCAGCUUGAUUUUCGGAUAUUUGGAUUGGAGACUAUAAAAGAACAAUAUGAACAUGAUGCAGAUUUUAAGGAUGUUUUGCAGCAUUGUAAAGAGGGCAGAACAUGGAACAAGUUCGUCAUUAAUGAUGGAUUUGUGUUCCGUGCUAACAAGCUAUGCAUCCCAGAUAGCUCCGUUCGUCUUUUGUUGUUACAGGAGGCACAUGGAGGAGGGUUGAUGGGUCACUUCGGCGUGAAGAAGACCGAAGAUGUGCUCGCUGAUCAUUUCUUUUGGCCUCGGAUGAGAGGGGAUGUUGAGAGAUUUAUCGCUCGCUGCACUACAUGUCAAAAAGCUAAGUCACGACUCAAUCCUCAUGGUUUAUAUAUUUCUCUCCCUGUUCCUAAUGUUCCUUGAGAAGAUAUAUCAAUGGAUUUUGUUUUGGGAUUGCCUCGAACUAAGAAGGGGAGGGAUAGCAUAUUUGUUGUUGUUGAUAGAUUUUCUAAGAUGGCACAAUUUAUACCUUGCAUAAGAGCGUUCAUGCUACAAAUAUUGCUGAUUUAUUCUUUCGUGAAAUUGUUCGCUUGCAUGGUGUGCCCAAUACUAUAGUUUCAGAUUGUGACACAAAAUUUCUUAGCCACUUUUGGAGAUGUUUAUGGGCUAAGUUGGGGACUAAAUUGCUUUUUAGUACUACAUGUCAUCCCCAAACAGAUGGACAAACUGAAGUUGUUAAUAGAACAUUAUCUACUAUGCUUAGGGCUGUUUUAAAGAAGAACUUGAAAAUGUGGGAAGAAUAUUUACCUCAUAUUGAAUUUGCAUAUAAUCGUUCACUGCAUUCAACCACAAAAUUGUGCCCUUUUGAAAUUGUUUAUGGUUUUAUAUCUCGUGCACCAAUUGACUUGUUACCUUUGCCAACUUCUGAAGAAGUUAACUUUGAUGCUAAGGAACGUGCUGAACUUAUAAUAAAAAUGCAUGAGACGACUAAAGAGAACAUUGAGCGUAUGAAUUCUAAGUAUUAGCUUGCGGGAGAUAGGGGCAGAAAACAAAUUGUGUUUGAACUUGGAGAUCUUGUUUGGUUGCAUUUGCACAAAGAUCGUUUUCCUGAUUUGCGCAAGUCUAAGUUAAUGCCACGAGCUGAUGGUCCCUUUAAGGCGUUAGCGAAAAUUAAUGAUAAUGCAUAUAAACUUGAGCUACCCCCAGAUUUUGGGGUUAGUCCCACGUUUAAUAUUGCAGAUUUGAAGCCUUAUUUGGGAGAAGAAGAUGAACUACCGUCGUGGACAUCCCAACUAAUGAUAGAACCACAGCACCUACACCUCAAGUACCGUAGAUACAUGGACCAAUUACUAGAGCUCGUGCACGACAACUAAAUUAUCAGGUACUUUUUUUCCUCGGUACCUCAUUUAAUAUUAAUGAGAAUAUGCUGCUGCCUAAGAUGGGUUCUUUUAUGUGUUUUAGGAAUGAAGGACCUAGCUUGGACCUCAAGGAUCAGCGUUGGACAGCAAACCAUGGAGGUGGCAGCAAGGUGGCAGGAGCUAGCUCAAGUGAUGAUUUCAGAACAUUGAAACCGCCAUAACGAGAGAUGUGAAGAAGGCCGCAUCCUCUUCAUUAAUGGGAUUUUGGCCAAGUGGAGGAUUCCCCCUCCAAUGGGUAUCUAUGGGCAAAAAAUGAGGGUUAUAACCUUGCUUUAUUGGGCCUAAGGCCAUGUAAUAGGGUCCAGCCAAUUUUUAGAUGUUUUCCUUGUGUUUUAGAGGAUUCCUAGGCCGUUUCGGAGUCCCUCAAGGGCCUGGCCGAAAACCACCUAGUUCCCCUCCUAUUUAUACCCCAUGAGUCACCCUAUGGAGCCUUGGAUUUUGAUUAGAUAAAGUUUAGCCUUUGCUACUUUCGUGUAAUCGCGUGUGUCGGUUAGACCACCUGUUUUACCGUCAUCAAGACUCCAACUAUAUUGAGUAUUCAGAUUCGUGAACCUUCAUAUCUCCUAUUCGCAAUUUCAGAUUGCUUUUCAUCUUGUUCUUGCUUGUUCUUCGAUUGCUUGCAGGAACAAAGACCUUCGUGGUCAGGUUGAUCGUGCCCCUGCGGGAUCAAUAACCUUCUGGAGUUGGUGUAUCGAUCGCUAAGGCGCUGCCUCCUAGGUUGUAGUCGGAUCGUCAACGUCACCUCUUACCAAAUCGAUAAUUAGGUAUCUCAUCAAAAGAUCGGGACACCCUCGAGGCUAUCAGGUCCCUCCUCAUUAUUGUUGUCAGAGUGGCAGUAGCAAGGAAAUGGCGAGGGUAAACUAGACUACUUGGGAUUUAUAGCUAGCGUAGAGGUACGAGUAAUAAUCUUAAUGCAACUACUAAAACAACUAGUGCAUAGUAAAAAUAUUUAGGAGAAUGAUCAAAGUGAACUUGCCUUGUCCAAGGUUGUCGUGGUUUUCACACUCUUCGCAACAAUAGGGAUUACACUCCACACAAUUUAAAAUAAAAUAAAGCACACACAGAAUAAACACAACAUUCGAUACAAAAACAUGCUAUGAUCCAUAUGCCAUGAUGAUGCACACUUGGUUACUUCUAAUGUAACAAGUUGUGUUUCUGUUUUGAAAAGUUUUUCAAAUGAUUUGGACAGAUUAUACAACAUCAAAGAGGUAAUUAAUAUGCAUGAAACAAGGGUAUGUUUUAAAUUAAAAGAUUCCAAUGUUUUUGCAACAUAGAGCAAGAUUUAAACUUGUAUGCAAUUAUUAUCAACAAAAUAAUUUCUCUUCUGAUCCUAAUGGACAGAGAACAUGCUCAAAUAAUUUUACAGCAAGCUAACAUGCUCAAAACCAUUUUGAAAUAAUUCAUUUGAAAAAUUUAAACCACAUUCAACCAUUCUGUAAUUUGCUUCUGGCAAAGUAUUUCCAAAUUGAAAUUUGACUGUGCCAAAAAUUUCAACAAGUUGUGACGAUUCCAGAAAGGUGCGAAUCAUAAUAUUUGGACAAGCGGUUUGAAAGUUAUGAUGCUUUGCAAAAGUGUAAUUUUUAUUUUGGCCAAAAAUUAAAAAAAAAUCUAGCUUUGCCACGUGGCAGUGCAGCAUUGGCUGGAAGCUAGGGUUUUACCCGGGCGGCGGUGCGGUCGGCCGGAGCUGAGGGAGAGGGCGGUGCGGAGCUCGGGGACGGGCGUCGGGUGGACGGCGGCGGCCGGCGACUUCGGGCGGCAGCAGAGCUUGGGAAGUGGCGGAACGGAAGUGGGGGAGGGCGGCGGUUCGGCGGGGCACAGUCGGCUCGGGCGGCUCGGCGGACGGAGGCGCAUGGCGGCGAGCAUGGGCGGCGGACGAAGGCGGAGCUGCGGCAACCAAAAACAAAGAUAAGCGCGUCAUGAGGUGCGGAAUGAAGAGAGGAGAGAGGGUAGGGGGUCGGCGAUGCGAGAAGCUCACGGGGUGGCGGCGAAUCGCGAAGAACGGGGGUGACUGUGAAGAACUCCGGCGAGAAAUUUUGGCGAGGUGCGAGCGCAAUCGGGCGAGGGAGUCUGGGGAAAAGAGAGAGGAGAUCGAGGGCUUCAAACUGACGCGAACGGCUUCGGAGAUGGGGUCGUGUGCGCGGAGAAAUCGGAGUGGAAGGCACGCGCGCGGACUCGGGGUCGUGGCCGGGUUUCUCGGCCGGCGGUUGGGGAAGAUGUAGCUGACCAGUGGGGCCCUCUUGGGCGCGCGGCUGGGCUGGUCGGUUCAGUCCGGUUCUGUGGUGACCCAGACCCGUAAGGAUCCGGACCUCUGUGUAAACUGUGCUAGUCCCUGGAUCAAAUGCUAGCACACACAGUUCCAUUGAUGAAAUACCAUACACAUGUCUAUUACAUCGGUUCGAAUAACAAAUCCAGAGUACUAAUACAAGCCAAGCGGAAGUUUAAAUAAAACACACUGAUAAAGAGGGAGUCCCAUCAACGCCACAGGCAAGUUGAGUGUAGACUUGCGACCCUGCGUCUUCUUCUUAAGCGUCACUCUCUGCAUGAUAGGUGCAGGUCAGUACAUUGAAUGUACUUGCAAGUCACACCUGUGUGGUUAGGAGGAAUGCAUGGAAAUGAUGAAGGAUUUCCUAGUUUGGCUACUAGGGUUGUUUUUGCAAAAUGCUGCUUUUGGGGUUUUGAAAUUCUCAUAGUAUUUCCCUUUGAAAAUCUUUAUCCUGGAGUUUUGAUAAAACAGGGUUUGAUCAAUACUAUGGUCAUUCUGUGGAUGUUCACUCCACGACCUAGCUAUGCACUCUGGGUCAACUGGCACUCACAUAGCAUCCCUUUUCCCUGACUCAUUCUGUGGAACCUUCCAUCGAGUCAAAACAGUUUUGGGGUUUUGAAAACAAAACUUGAAGAUCUCCACUUCUCCUGACUUAAUGACUCAAAGUCGCCCGUAACAGGGGCAUGGCUAAUCGAUUAGAUUGACACUCUCGAGAGGUUUGUACACUUUACCCACUUGACACAAUCAGUCCAAAGUGUUGCCUGACGACAAGCGUGCGCAACAGGUAAAGAUUGUGACGAAGUCUUUCACCUGAUGCCCCCUGAUACCUAAUUCUGGCACCGCCCGCCCCAUAUGAGCACAUUGGCUCCUCUCCGAAUGGCGAUACCCAGGUAAGGGUUUCCCGCUAGUUAGUCGACCAAGCCAGAGCCCAUAAUAGCAAGUGGUUGCACAAGAAACCUUUGGGUACAUGAGAAGGUUUGAACUCUUGGAUUUCUGGACAGAGGUCCCCACCUUCUCCUGAGCGUGUACCCGUUAUGGGGCUACAACACUUGCCGAUAGCCAACUGGCCUCCAUCAUACCACUCCAUCCAGAUAAAACAUUUUGGUUUUAUUUCAAAAACAUUUUUCCAAAAACAUACUUGCUCAUAAAGAGCACUUAAUACUUUUCAAUAUAGUUUGGGUCCUGUCCCGUUAUAAUAAUAUAGCAUGCUUUGGAAUAAUGUAAAUACAUAACCUAUGGUAUUUGGUGGCAUGGCAAUAAAAUCCUAUAAGCAAUCUACUAGGAAUAACUAAACAUGUUGCAAACGCAUUUAAACAUACUUCAUAUAAAAGUAACUAUCAUGCAUUCCCUAAUCAUGUAAAUCAACAUAGCUUAAGCAAAAUAAUGGGAUACUACAUGGUCAAAAGUGUAACUUGCCUGGUUCAAAAAAGUGGUUGCGGUCGUCAACUCCCUGGCACUCGUCGCAAUCGCAAUCUGAAUAAUCUAACGCGAAGAACGAAACAACAAUAAAUGCAUAGUUCCAAACAUCUCUCAAAAUCCAAAUAUAACUCCAAAUGAACUUCGGAUAAAGGAUGUAUCACAAGCAUACAAAACAGAACCUAAGUAAUACCAUAGUAUUAACAAUUCAAGUUCUAAAGCCUAAGGUUAAGGCUAGAGUGGCUAAGUCUGAAGAUUCAUAAAUCUGCUACUGUUAACAGAUAGCAACUAGGGUUGACAGGUAAUAGGUGCUAAAGUACAGAACAUGGCAUGAAACAUAUGCUACAGUAUAGUACUAAGAUUAUACCAACUAACGCAGCAGGUUUCAGGUCAAAAUGAUAAAGAGAUCAAAAGUUACUGGCUUGCAAAGGUGGCUAGUCAGAUUCUGACAGAUAAAGGUUGCUAACUUCGAGUGAAAAACUACUGGUGCUAAACUUUUCCGAUGACAGAGAACUAAACAAAGGAAUCCAAUAAUAUGAUCUACUCUUCCAAAUGGAACUGGUUUCACUAACUAUGGAGACAUGAGGCAGUAGCUAUGAACAGAUGAAUCUGGCUACUCUAAAACAGGACAGUACAGGAUAUGAACUUCUACCAUCGUGCUGCUAGUGAAGGUGAAGUUGAAAUGGCCCAACUAGGAAAUGGCUGUGAAGGGGUGUUCCUAAAGUUCAAUCUACAGAAAGAAACAACUAAAAUGAUGCUACGGACAACAAUGAGAACUACUGUGAAUAAGGCUACCUACUAAGAAGGUGCUGCAACUUUCUGCCGCGGCAGAGAUACGGCAGAGAAGCUGAUUAGAAUACCAUUUUGCGACGACGAUGCAAAGCAUGAGAUGAACCAUCUACGGCUACUGUCUACAGAGAAAUUGUAGAGGAACAUUCACUCUACACAAUGGUGAAAUCUAGAGCACAUAAUGAUCAGUGGUUUGAUAGCAAACAAUGCCUAAACAGAGCUAACCGAAGAACAAAAGCUUCAGAGAACUUGAACAAGUUCAUACCCAAAUCUUCCCGGAGAUGAACGGAAUCGAAGAAUCGAAGCGCGGGAAGGAAGAAGAAGGGUUGGAGGAGAUUCACGGUGUUGCGGGGAGUCCAACGGUGC
Molecule: long non-coding RNA, 37151 nt
Filed under: Brachypodium distachyon (stiff brome)
Lineage: Eukaryota; Viridiplantae; Streptophyta; Magnoliopsida; Poales; Poaceae
Description: long non-coding RNA (BDIS_LNC005584)
Source: RNAcentral